GACGAACGCUGGCGGCAGGCCUAACACAUGCAAGUCGAACGAUCCUUCGGGAUAGUGGCGGACGGGUGAGUAACACGUGGGAACGUGCCCUUUGGUUCGGAACAACUCAGGGAAACUUGAGCUAAUACCGGAUGUGCCCUUCGGGGGAAAGAUUUAUCGCCAUUGGAGCGGCCCGCGUUGGAUUAGGUAGUUGGUGGGGUAAUGGCCCACCAAGCCUACGAUCCAUAGCUGGUCUGAGAGGAUGAUCAGCCACACUGGGACUGAGACACGGCCCAGACUCCUACGGGAGGCAGCAGUGGGGAAUCUUGCGCAAUGGGCGAAAGCCUGACGCAGCCAUGCCGCGUGAAUGAUGAAGGUCUUAGGAUUGUAAAAUUCUUUCACCGGGGACGAUAAUGACGGUACCCGGAGAAGAAGCCCCGGCUAACUUCGUGCCAGCAGCCGCCGUAA
RNAcentral lists this ribosomal RNA (447 nucleotides) under uncultured bacterium. RNAcentral's name for it is "partial 16S ribosomal RNA". It matches the Rfam family "Bacterial small subunit ribosomal RNA", at positions 28 to 523 of the family's 1533-position model. The record is from RNAcentral.